UGGGGAAUAUUGGACAAUGGGCGCAAGCCUGAUCCAGCAAUGCCGCGUGGGUGAUGAAGGCCCUCGGGUUGUAAAGCCCUUUCGCGCGCGACGAUGAUGACGGUAGCGCGAGAAGAAGCCCCGGCUAACUUCGUGCCAGCAGCCGCGGUAAUACGAAGGGGGCGAGCGUUGUUCGGAAUUACUGGGCGUAAAGGGCGCGUAGGCGGCGGUCCAAGUCAGGCGUGAAAGCCCCGGGCUCAACCUGGGAGGUGCGCUUGAGACUGGGCCGCUCGAGUUCGGGAGAGGACGGCGGAAUUCCCAGUGUAGAGGUGAAAUUCGUAGAUAUUGGGAAGAACACCGACGGCGAAGGCAGCCGUCUGGACCGACACUGACGCUGAGGCGCGAAAGCGUGGGGAGCAAACAGG
RNAcentral lists this ribosomal RNA (404 nucleotides) under uncultured bacterium. Its description in RNAcentral is "bacterial SSU rRNA". It matches the Rfam family "Bacterial small subunit ribosomal RNA", at positions 355 to 776 of the family's 1533-position model. The record is from RNAcentral.